AGAGUUUGAUCCUGGCUCAGGAUGAACGCUAGCGGCAGGCUUAACACAUGCAAGUCGAGGGGCAGCGGGGAGGAAGCUUGCUUUCUCCGCCGGCGACCGGCGCACGGGUGAGUAACACGUAUGCAACCUGCCCCUGUCAGGGGGACAACCCGCCGAAAGGCGGGCUAAACCCGCGUACACGCCACCGGGGCAUCCCGGAGGCAGGAAAGGCUUCGGCCGGACAGGGAUGGGCAUGCGGCGCAUUAGGCAGUAGGCGGGGUAACGGCCCACCUACCCGACGAUGCGUAGGGGUUCUGAGAGGAAGGUCCCCCACACUGGUACUGAGACACGGACCAGACUCCUACGGGAGGCAGCAGUGAGGAAUAUUGGUCAAUGGUCGGGAGACUGAACCAGCCAAGCCGCGUGAGGGAGGAAGGUACAGAGUAUCGUAAACCUCUUUUGUCAGGGAACAAAGGCGGGGACGUGUCCCCGGAUGAGUGUACCUGAAGAAAAAGCAUCGGCUAACUCCGUGCCAGCAGCCGCGGUAAUACGGAGGAUGCGAGCGUUAUCCGGAUUUAUUGGGUUUAAAGGGUGCGCAGGCGGUCUGUUAAGUCAGCGGUCAAAGCCCGGGGCUCAACCCCGGCCCGCCGUUGAAACUGGCAGUCUCGAGUUGGAGAGAAGUAUGCGGAAUGCGCGGUGUAGCGGUGAAAUGCAUAGAUAUCGCGCAGAACUCCGAUUGCGAAGGCAGCAUGCCGGCUCCACACUGACGCUGAGGCACGAAGGCGUGGGUAUCGAACAGGAUUAGAUACCCUGGUAGUCCACGCAGUAAACGAUGAAUGCUGGCUGUCCGGGGGGAUUGACCCCUGGGUGGCGAAGCGAAAGCGAUAAGCAUUCCACCUGGGGAGUACGCCGGCAACGGUGAAACUCAAAGGAAUUGACGGGGGCCCGCACAAGCGGAGGAACAUGUGGUUUAAUUCGAUGAUACGCGAGGAACCUUACCCGGGCUCAAACGGGGAGUGACUCAGGCAGAGACGCCUGUUUCCCACGGGACACUCCCCGAGGUGCUGCAUGGUUGUCGUCAGCUCGUGCCGUGAGGUGUCGGCUUAAGUGCCAUAACGAGCGCAACCCCCGCGUGCAGUUGCUAACAGAUAACGCUGAGGACUCUGCACGGACUGCCGGCGCAAGCCGCGAGGAAGGCGGGGAUGACGUCAAAUCAGCACGGCCCUUACGUCCGGGGCGACACACGUGUUACAAUGGGUGGUACAGCGGGAAGCCAGGCGGCGACGCCGAGCGGAACCCGAAAUCCACUCUCAGUUCGGAUCGGAGUCUGCAACCCGACUCCGUGAAGCUGGAUUCGCUAGUAAUCGCGCAUCAGCCAUGGCGCGGUGAAUACGUUCCCGGGCCUUGCACUCACCGCCCGUCA
This 1402-nucleotide ribosomal RNA is filed under the name uncultured bacterium. RNAcentral describes it as "16S ribosomal RNA". It matches the Rfam family "Bacterial small subunit ribosomal RNA". The record is from RNAcentral.